Molecule: ribosomal RNA, 305 nt
Filed under: uncultured bacterium
Lineage: Bacteria
Description: bacterial SSU rRNA
Rfam family: Bacterial small subunit ribosomal RNA
Source: RNAcentral
UUAUCCUACGGGAGGCAGCAGUGAGGAAUAUUGGUCAAUGGGCGAGAGCCUGAACCAGCCAAGUCGCGUGAAGGAAGACGGUCCUAUGGAUUGUAAACCUCUUUUGUCGGGGAGCAAAAAGGCCUCGUGAGGCCACAAGUGAGAGUACCCGAAGAAAAAGCAUCGGCUAACUCCGUGCCAGCAGCCGCGGUAAUACGGAGGAUGCGAGCGUUAUCCGGAUUUAUUGGGUUUAAAGGGUGCGUAGGCGGUUUGUCAAGUCAGCGGUAAAAAUUCCGGGCUCAACCCGGUCCCGCCGUUGAAACUGG